GAUGAGCUAAGGGACGACCAAUCAACUUAUGACUCGAGGGACCCCCCACUCUCCCCACUAGACGACCCCCCACAUAGUGGCCCCCAGCAGGGGACAGAGUACCCCCCACAUAGGAAGUCUGAGGGGAGAAGGAGGAGUGUUCCCACUGGACUGUUCUCAUUGGUCGCUGUGAGAUCUAGACUGGAGAAUCUUUGCUCUGAGAUCCAGUUCAUUCAAGGAACGUACCUCCUGACUGGGAAAAAUGGCUUCCUGCUCGGCAAACUACAGGUGUGCGCAUUGUGAUAUAUCUCAUAGUUACUUCGUGUGUCUUUUGUUUGGCUUUAAUUACUCUACGUACUAUAUAGUACCAAGCUUAAACACAUGUUGUGGAGACUUUGAGGCCCAUGCAUUAACCAGGCUGGCUGCAUGCAGUGUAUAGAGGGUAUUUACAACACAAACAAGAUUAUGUCACUGAUUUAAUCUAUCUGUAUAAAAUACUGUUUGUUCCUUGCAUGCAAGACUGCCACUUACAGCUUCAAGAACUUCGAUUACAAGAAUUUGAAUCAAAUCAAGAAUUGUUGAACAGAGAACAAACAAUUAUUUAUGUCAGAUAAAAACAUGCAACGACUCGAGUAUAUUUAUAAUUAUGACUAUUAUACCAGCUAUAACUAUAUAUAUAGUCGCACUGAUAUCAAUGUAAUUAACACAUAAUGUUAUAUCAUGAUCUGUCCCAUUUUUUAUCAAAAUUUAACACGUAUUAAAUUUUUCUGAAGUCUGUUCAAUCCCGGCCCUUUGACUGUGAAAAAUGUCAAUUGGAAUGUCUAUAGCACUUGUUCACUGACUGUGUUAAUAAAUUCAGGAGACCUAGCUAAUAUAGGAUUAUCUGAGCACUUUUUUUCAGUUAAAGAUUUAUGCACUUCAUUACCGAAUCUAAAGUAUCGAAGAAGAUGUUCGUUCACCUCACCCGUCCAUUAUUUAGCUGGAGUCAACAACAAGUCCACUAUACAUGUUAGAAAUAAAAGAUUAUAUAGGUGUAGCAGGCAUUACCGGAAAACUUGUAAAAAAAGUGUUCGGCCGGCGUCCCGACCUUCUGCGCAAGCUAGAGUCCUAGCCAGUAACUGGAGUCCCAGUUAAGUCGGAGUCCCGACCAAGCCAGUGCACCAGUUAUAUUACCGAGAACUUCAGAAACGAAAGAGAUAUAGAUGUGCGCAUGCCGGAGUCCCCUUCCACUCCGAAGCCCCAGUAAUAGCAUGCACACGAAUGUGGCUGACUGCAACGGAAGUUACAUAACUUAAAAAGUUUGUUCAAACUCAACUGACACCAUGACUGUUUGGAACUAUACAGCUUAAUAAUAUCUACAAAGGAAUUUGAGUAUAUAUAUAGUGUUACACUCAUAUACGAUUAUAUAAUGAAGCUAGAUCUACGUACAUAAUAUGCACAUGCACAAACUGGUAAACAUAAUUAUACACACACAAAAAUUUUUCUGGACUAUAAAAUUGGCAUUAGGCCAAAAAUUGAGAUAUAUGCAUGUAUAGGUGUUCUAAUUAAGUGUCCCUCUUGUACGAGUAUACAGCUGCAGGAGGGCGUACUGAGCACAGUCAGUGGAGGUCCAAUAUCCUGUGUGGGCGGACUGCCACUUCCAGCUUCAAGAGCUUCGAUUACAAGGAUUUGAACCAAGUCAAGAAUUGUUGAACAGAGAACGAACAAUGUCUUGUGUCAGAUAAAAACAUGCAACGAGUAUAUUGACAAUAUACCAGCUGCAACUAAGUCGCACUGAUAUCAGCGUAAUUAACACAUUCGUACUAUAAUUUUAUCAUCAUCAAAUUUUUUUUUAUCACACGUACGUACAUGUAAUAAUUAUUUUUCUGAAGCCAGUUCAAUCCAUUUGUGUUCAAUACAACAUAUUUAUUAUGUACGUUGGAAUGUCUAGCACUUUGUUCACUAAAUUGU
Long non-coding RNA from Halichondria panicea, 1929 nucleotides. RefSeq lists it as uncharacterized. The record is from RefSeq and is a predicted model, not a curated record. The transcript has 3 exons. Lineage: Eukaryota; Metazoa; Porifera; Demospongiae; Suberitida; Halichondriidae.